Molecule: ribosomal RNA, 500 nt
Filed under: uncultured copper smeltery bacterium D94
Lineage: Bacteria
Description: bacterial SSU rRNA
Rfam family: Bacterial small subunit ribosomal RNA
Source: RNAcentral
GAAUUCGCCCUUAGAGUUUGAUCAUGGCUCAGGAUGAACGCUAGCGGCAGGCUUAAUACAUGCAAGUCGAGGGGCAACAGGGGUAGCAAUACCUGCUGGCGACCGGCAAACGGGUGCGGAACACGUACAGAACCUUCCUUUAAGCGGGGGAUAGCCCAUAGAAAUGUGGAUUAAUACCCCAUAGUAAUAUUUGAUGGCAUCAUUAGAUAUUUAAAGAUUUAUCACUUAAAGAUGGCUGUGCGGCUGAUUAGGUAGUUGGUCGGGGUAAUGGCCCACCAAGCCAGCGAUCAGUAACUGGUGUGAGAGCACGACCAGUCACACGGGCACUGAGACACGGGCCCGACUCCUACGGGAGGCAGCAGUAAGGAAUAUUGGUCAAUGGACGCAAGUCUGAACCAGCCAUGCCGCGUGAAGGAUGAAGGCCCUCUGGGUUGUAAACUUCUUUUAUCUGGGAAGAAAUGCUUGUUUUUUAACGAGUUUGACGGUACCAGAGGAAUGGG